ACAACGAAGAGUUUGAUCCUGGCUCAGGAUGAACGCUAGCGACAGGCUUAACACAUGCAAGUCGAGGGGCAGCGGGGGUAGCAAUACCCGCCGGCGACCGGCGCACGGGUGAGUAACGCGUAUGCAACUUACCUAUCAGAGGGGGAUAACCCGGCGAAAGUCGGACUAAUACCGCAUGAAGCAGGGGCCCCGCAUGGGGAUAUUUGCUAAAGAUUCAUCGCUGAUAGAUAGGCAUGCGUUCCAUUAGGCAGUUGGCGGGGUAACGGCCCACCAAACCGACGAUGGAUAGGGGUUCUGAGAGGAAGGUCCCCCACAUUGGUACUGAGACACGGACCAAACUCCUACGGGAGGCAGCAGUGAGGAAUAUUGGUCAAUGGCCGAGAGGCUGAACCAGCCAAGUCGCGUGAGGGAUGAAGGUUCUAUGGAUCGUAAACCUCUUUUAUAAGGGAAUAAAGUGCGGGACGUGUCCCGUUUUGUAUGUACCUUAUGAAUAAGGAUCGGCUAACUCCGUGCCAGCAGCCGCGGUAAUACGGAGGAUCCGAGCGUUAUCCGGAUUUAUUGGGUUUAAAGGGUGCGUAGGCGGCCUUUUAAGUCAGCGGUGAAAGUCUGUGGCUCAACCAUAGAAUUGCCGUUGAAACUGGGGGGCUUGAGUAUGUUUGAGGCAGGCGGAAUGCGUGGUGUAGCGGUGAAAUGCAUAGAUAUCACGCAGAACCCCGAUUGCGAAGGCAGCCUGCCAAGCCAUUACUGACGCUGAUGCACGAAAGCGUGGGGAUCAAACAGGAUUAGAUACCCUGGUAGUCCACGCAGUAAACGAUGAUCACUAGCUGUUUGCGAUACACUGUAAGCGGCACAGCGAAAGCGUUAAGUGAUCCACCUGGGGAGUACGCCGGCAACGGUGAAACUCAAAGGAAUUGACGGGGGCCCGCACAAGCGGAGGAACAUGUGGUUUAAUUCGAUGAUACGCGAGGAACCUUACCCGGGUUUGAACGCAUUCGGACCGAGGUGGAAACACCUUUUCUAGCAAUAGCCGUUUGCGAGGUGCUGCAUGGUUGUCGUCAGCUCGUGCCGUGAGGUGUCGGCUUAAGUGCCAUAACGAGCGCAACCCUUGCCACUAGUUACUAACAGGUAAAGCUGAGGACUCUGGUGGGACUGCCAGCGUAAGCUGCGAGGAAGGCGGGGAUGACGUCAAAUCAGCACGGCCCUUACAUCCGGGGCGACACACGUGUUACAAUGGCGUGGACAAAGGGAGGCCACCUGGCGACAGGGAGCGAAUCCCCAAACCACGUCUCAGUUCGGAUCGGAGUCUGCAACCCGACUCCGUGAAGCUGGAUUCGCUAGUAAUCGCGCAUCAGCCAUGGCGCGGUGAAUACGUUCCCGGGCCUUGUACACACCGCCCGUCAAGCCAUGGGAGCCGGGGGUACCUGAAGUCCGUAACCGAAAGGAUCGGCCUAGGGUAAAACUGGUGACUGGGGCUAAGUCGUAACAAGGUAGCCGUACCGGAAGGUGCGGCUGGAACACCUCCUUU
Molecule: ribosomal RNA, 1525 nt
Filed under: Parabacteroides distasonis
Lineage: Bacteria; Pseudomonadati; Bacteroidota; Bacteroidia; Bacteroidales; Tannerellaceae
Description: 16S ribosomal RNA
Rfam family: Bacterial small subunit ribosomal RNA
Source: RNAcentral